RNAcentral lists this ribosomal RNA (566 nucleotides) under uncultured bacterium. RNAcentral's name for it is "bacterial SSU rRNA". It matches the Rfam family "Bacterial small subunit ribosomal RNA", at positions 36 to 636 of the family's 1533-position model. The record is from RNAcentral.
CUGGCGGCGCGCCUAACAAUGCAAGUCGCACGAGAAAGUGGAGCAAUCCAUGAGUACAGUGGCGUACGGGUGAGUAACACGUGGAUCAUCUACCUCUUAGUGGGGAAUAACCCUGGGAAACCGGGGCUAAUACCGCAUAAUCUCGGGAGAGGAAAGCAGCAAUGCGCUGAGAGAGGAGUCCGCGGCCGAUUAGCUAGUUGGCAGGGUAAAAGCCUACCAAGGCAAAGAUCGGUAGCCGGCCUGAGAGGGCACAUGGCCACACUGGCACUGAAACACGGGCCAGACUCCUACGGGAGGCAGCAGUGGGGAAUCUUGUACAAUGGGGGAAACCCUGAUGCAGCGACGCCGCGUGAGCGAUGAAGCCCUUCGGGGUGUAAAGCUCUUUCGGCAGGAAGGUUAUGACGGUACCUGCAGAAGCAGCUGCGGCUAACUACGUGCCAGCAGCCGCGGUAAUACGUAGGCAGCAAGCGUUGUUCGGAGUUACUGGGCGUAAAGGGUGUGUAGGCGGUUGCUUAAGUUUGGUGUGAAAUCUCCCGGCUCAACUGGGAGGGUGCGCCGAAUACUGA